Molecule: unclassified non-coding RNA, 305 nt
Filed under: uncultured Dothideomycetes
Lineage: Eukaryota; Fungi; Ascomycota; Dothideomycetes
Description: sequence contains ITS1
Rfam family: 5.8S ribosomal RNA (bases 1-105)
Source: RNAcentral
GAAAUGCGAUAAGUAGUGUGAAUUGCAGAAUUCAGUGAAUCAUCGAAUCUUUGAACGCACAUUGCGCCCCUUGGUAUUCCAUGGGGCAUGCCUGUUCGAGCGUCAUUUGUACUCUCAAGCUUUGCUUGGUGUUGGGUGUUUGUCCUCUCCUCUUGUGUUUGGACUCGCCUCAAAGAUAUUGGCAGCCAGUGUAUUGGUAUUGAAGCGCAGCACAAUUUUGCGAUUCCAACCCACAUCGCUAGCAUCCAUUAAGGCUAUUUAACACGCUUGACCUCGGAUCAGGUAGGGAUACCCGCUGAACUUAA